This 3025-nucleotide ribosomal RNA is filed under the name Staphylococcus aureus. RNAcentral describes it as "23S ribosomal RNA". It matches the Rfam family "Bacterial large subunit ribosomal RNA". Lineage: Bacteria; Bacillati; Bacillota; Bacilli; Caryophanales; Staphylococcaceae. The record is from RNAcentral.
AGAUUAAGUUAUUAAGGGCGCACGGUGGAUGCCUUGGCACUAGAAGCCGAUGAAGGACGUUACUAACGACGAUAUGCUUUGGGGAGCUGUAAGUAAGCUUUGAUCCAGAGAUUUCCGAAUGGGGAAACCCAGCAUGAGUUAUGUCAUGUUAUCGAUAUGUGAAUACAUAGCAUAUCAGAAGGCACACCCGGAGAACUGAAACAUCUUAGUACCCGGAGGAAGAGAAAGAAAAUUCGAUUCCCUUAGUAGCGGCGAGCGAAACGGGAAGAGCCCAAACCAACAAGCUUGCUUGUUGGGGUUGUAGGACACUCUAUACGGAGUUACAAAGGACGACAUUAGACGAAUCAUCUGGAAAGAUGAAUCAAAGAAGGUAAUAAUCCUGUAGUCGAAAAUGUUGUCUCUCUUGAGUGGAUCCUGAGUACGACGGAGCACGUGAAAUUCCGUCGGAAUCUGGGAGGACCAUCUCCUAAGGCUAAAUACUCUCUAGUGACCGAUAGUGAACCAGUACCGUGAGGGAAAGGUGAAAAGCACCCCGGAAGGGGAGUGAAAUAGAACCUGAAACCGUGUGCUUACAAGUAGUCAGAGCCCGUUAAUGGGUGAUGGCGUGCCUUUUGUAGAAUGAACCGGCGAGUUACGAUUUGAUGCAAGGUUAAGCAGUAAAUGUGGAGCCGUAGCGAAAGCGAGUCUGAAUAGGGCGUUUAGUAUUUGGUCGUAGACCCGAAACCAGGUGAUCUACCCUUGGUCAGGUUGAAGUUCAGGUAACACUGAAUGGAGGACCGAACCGACUUACGUUGAAAAGUGAGCGGAUGAACUGAGGGUAGCGGAGAAAUUCCAAUCGAACCUGGAGAUAGCUGGUUCUCUCCGAAAUAGCUUUAGGGCUAGCCUCAAGUGAUGAUUAUUGGAGGUAGAGCACUGUUUGGACGAGGGGCCCCUCUCGGGUUACCGAAUUCAGACAAACUCCGAAUGCCAAUUAAUUUAACUUGGGAGUCAGAACAUGGGUGAUAAGGUCCGUGUUCGAAAGGGAAACAGCCCAGACCACCAGCUAAGGUCCCAAAAUAUAUGUUAAGUGGAAAAGGAUGUGGCGUUGCCCAGACAACUAGGAUGUUGGCUUAGAAGCAGCCAUCAUUUAAAGAGUGCGUAAUAGCUCACUAGUCGAGUGACACUGCGCCGAAAAUGUACCGGGGCUAAACAUAUUACCGAAGCUGUGGAUUGUCCUUUGGACAAUGGUAGGAGAGCGUUCUAAGGGCGUUGAAGCAUGAUCGUAAGANNNUNNNNNNNNNNNNNNNNNNNNNNNNNNNNNNNNNNNNNNNNNNNNNNNNNNNNNNNNNNNNNNNNNNNNNNNNNNNNNNNNNNNNNNNNNGUNANAACAUGUGGAGCGCUUAGAAGUGAGAAUGCCGGUGUGAGUAGCGAAAGACGGGUGAGAAUCCCGUCCACCGAUUGACUAAGGUUUCCAGAGGAAGGCUCGUCCGCUCUGGGUUAGUCGGGUCCUAAGCUGAGGCCGACAGGCGUAGGCGAUGGAUAACAGGUUGAUAUUCCUGUACCACCUAUAAUCGUUUUAAUCGAUGGGGGGACGCAGUAGGAUAGGCGAAGCGUGCGAUUGGAUUGCACGUCUAAGCAGUAAGGCUGAGUAUUAGGCAAAUCCGGUACUCGUUAAGGCUGAGCUGUGAUGGGGAGAAGACAUUGUGUCUUCGAGUCGUUGAUUUCACACUGCCGAGAAAAGCCUCUAGAUAGAAAAUAGGUGCCCGUACCGCAAACCGACACAGGUAGUCAAGAUGAGAAUUCUAAGGUGAGCGAGCGAACUCUCGUUAAGGAACUCGGCAAAAUGACCCCGUAACUUCGGGAGAAGGGGUGCUCUUUAGGGUUAACGCCCAGAAGAGCCGCAGUGAAUAGGCCCAAGCGACUGUUUAUCAAAAACACAGGUCUCUGCUAAACCGUAAGGUGAUGUAUAGGGGCUGACGCCUGCCCGGUGCUGGAAGGUUAAGAGGAGUGGUUAGCUUCUGCGAAGCUACGAAUCGAAGCCCCAGUAAACGGCGGCCGUAACUAUAACGGUCCUAAGGUAGCGAAAUUCCUUGUCGGGUAAGUUCCGACCCGCACGAAAGGCGUAACGAUUUGGGCACUGUCUCAACGAGAGACUCGGUGAAAUCAUAGUACCUGUGAAGAUGCAGGUUACCCGCGACAGGACGGAAAGACCCCGUGGAGCUUUACUGUAGCCUGAUAUUGAAAUUCGGCACAGCUUGUACAGGAUAGGUAGGAGCCUUUGAAACGUGAGCGCUAGCUUACGUGGAGGCGCUGGUGGGAUACUACCCUAGCUGUGUUGGCUUUCUAACCCGCACCACUUAUCGUGGUGGGAGACAGUGUCAGGCGGGCAGUUUGACUGGGGCGGUCGCCUCCUAAAAGGUAACGGAGGCGCUCAAAGGUUCCCUCAGAAUGGUUGGAAAUCAUUCAUAGAGUGUAAAGGCAUAAGGGAGCUUGACUGCGAGACCUACAAGUCGAGCAGGGUCGAAAGACGGACUUAGUGAUCCGGUGGUUCCGCAUGGAAGGGCCAUCGCUCAACGGAUAAAAGCUACCCCGGGGAUAACAGGCUUAUCUCCCCCAAGAGUUCACAUCGACGGGGAGGUUUGGCACCUCGAUGUCGGCUCAUCGCAUCCUGGGGCUGUAGUCGGUCCCAAGGGUUGGGCUGUUCGCCCAUUAAAGCGGUACGCGAGCUGGGUUCAGAACGUCGUGAGACAGUUCGGUCCCUAUCCGUCGUGGGCGUAGGAAAUUUGAGAGGAGCUGUCCUUAGUACGAGAGGACCGGGAUGGACAUACCUCUGGUGUACCAGUUGUCGUGCCAACGGCAUAGCUGGGUAGCUAUGUGUGGACGGGAUAAGUGCUGAAAGCAUCUAAGCAUGAAGCCCCCCUCAAGAUGAGAUUUCCCAACUUCGGUUAUAAGAUCCCUCAAAGAUGAUGAGGUUAAUAGGUUCGAGGUGGAAGCAUGGUGACAUGUGGAGCUGACGAAUACUAAUCGAUCGAAGACUUAAUCAAAA